UAUAAGAGGUCAUGCCUGCCCAGUGACUCUGUUCAACGGCCGCGGUAUCCUAACCGUGCGAAGGUAGCGUAAUCACUUGUUCUUUAAAUGAGGACUAGUAUGAAUGGCCCCACGAAGACUACACUGUCUCCUUUUUCUAAUCAAUGAAACUAAUCUUCUCGUGAAGAAGCGAGAAUAAUUUUAUAAGACGAGAAGACCCUAUGGAGCUUUAAACAACUGAAAUAUUUGCUUUUAUAUUCCAUUCUCCAGAGUUCGCUAUUAUAUCCAAGCAUUUUAAUUUCUAGUUUUAGGUUGGGGUGACCACGGAGUAAAAUUCAACCUCCAUGACGAACUAAGCAUUUUUCCUCUAAGCCACAAGCUACCUCUUUAAGCAUCAACAAAUUGACUUACAUUGACCCAAUAUUUUGAUCAACGAACCAAGUUACCCUAGGGAUAACAGCGCAAUCUACUUCAAGAGCUCAUAUCGACAAGUAGGUUACGACCUCGAUGUUGGAUCAGGGUGUCCUGGUGGUGCAGCCGCUACUAA
Molecule: ribosomal RNA, 526 nt
Filed under: Leucostethus jota
Lineage: Eukaryota; Metazoa; Chordata; Amphibia; Anura; Dendrobatidae
Description: partial 16S ribosomal RNA
Rfam family: Bacterial large subunit ribosomal RNA
Source: RNAcentral